RNAcentral lists this ribosomal RNA (303 nucleotides) under uncultured bacterium. Its description in RNAcentral is "partial 16S ribosomal RNA". It matches the Rfam family "Bacterial small subunit ribosomal RNA", at positions 507 to 807 of the family's 1533-position model. The record is from RNAcentral.
AGCAGUAGCCACGGUAAUACAGAGGGUGCGAGCGUUAAUCGGAUUUACUGGGCGUAAAGCGUGCGUAGGCGGCUUUUUAAGUCGGAUGUGAAAUCCCUGAGCUUAACUUAGGAAUUGCAUUCGAUACUGGGAAGCUAGAGUAUGGGAGAGGAUGGUAGAAUUCCAGGUGUAGCGGUGAAAUGCGUAGAGAUCUGGAGGAAUACCGAUGGCGAAGGCAGCCAUCUGGCCUAAUACUGACGCUGAGGUACGAAAGCAUGGGGAGCAAACAGGAUUAGAUACCCGCGUAGUCCCUGUCUCUUAUAC